Molecule: ribosomal RNA, 495 nt
Filed under: uncultured Rhizobium/Agrobacterium group bacterium
Lineage: Bacteria; Pseudomonadati; Pseudomonadota; Alphaproteobacteria; Hyphomicrobiales; Rhizobiaceae
Description: bacterial SSU rRNA
Rfam family: Bacterial small subunit ribosomal RNA
Source: RNAcentral
GGGAGGCAGCAGUGGGGAAUAUUGGACAAUGGGCGAAAGCCUGAUCCAGCAAUGCCGCGUGAGUGAUGAAGGCCUUAGGGUUGUAAAGCUCUUUUACCCGGGAUGAUAAUGACAGUACCGGGAGAAUAAGCUCCGGCUAACUCCGUGCCAGCAGCCGCGGUAAUACGAAGGGGGCUAGCGUUGCUCGGAAUUACUGGGCGUAAAGGGAGCGUAGGCGGACAUUUAAGUCAGAGGUGAAAUCCCGGAGCUUAACUUCGGAACUGCCUUUGAUACUGGAUGUCUUGAGUGUGAGAGAGGUAUGUGGAACUCCGAGUGUAGAGGUGAAAUUCGUAGAUAUUCGGAAGAACACCAGUGGCGAAGGCGACAUACUGGCUCAUUACUGACGCUGAGGCUCGAAAGCGUGGGGAGCAAACAGGAUUAGAUACCCUGGUAGUCCACGCCCUAAACGAUGUCAACUAGCUGUUGGGUUCUUCGGAGCUUAGUAGCGCAGCUAAC